This 361-nucleotide ribosomal RNA is filed under the name uncultured bacterium. RNAcentral describes it as "bacterial SSU rRNA". It matches the Rfam family "Bacterial small subunit ribosomal RNA", at positions 29 to 412 of the family's 1533-position model. The record is from RNAcentral.
AACGAACGUUGGCGGCGUGGAUUAGGCAUGCAAGUCGGGGGAAUCCCAGCAAUGGGGGAACCGGCGUAAGGGGCAGUAAGGCAUGGGUACCUACCUUUGGGUUCGGGAUAGCCAUCAGAGAUGGUGGGUAAUACCGGAUGACGUCGUGAGACCAAAGAUUUAUCGCCCGAAGAGGGGCCCAUGUGAUAUUAGCUAGUUGGUGAGGUAAUGGCUCACCAAGGCUAAGAUGUCUAGCGGGUGUGAGAGCACGACCCGCGCCACUCGCACUGAGACACUGGCGAGACACCUACGGGUGGCUGCAGUCGAGGAUCUUCGGGCAAUGAGCGCAAGCUUGACGGAGCGACGCCGCGUGAGCGAUGAA